GACCCUUGACGCCACUACUCUUCGUAAUAAACUCCGAAUGGCUCUGAACAACCCACUACUAGAUGGUUACAGACAUCAUUGUCAAUUAGUUACGCACUCCGUCUAUAAAAAGGGACCCCCAGAUACGUUCUUCUCUAAGCUCAAAAACUCUAUCUCAAAAUUCUACUAAAAUUUCCACUCGAGCACUUCAUUUCUGUUGAAGUAGAGUACUGACUUG
RNAcentral lists this long non-coding RNA (217 nucleotides) under Elaeis guineensis (African oil palm). RNAcentral's name for it is "long non-coding RNA (EGUI_LNC067504)". Lineage: Eukaryota; Viridiplantae; Streptophyta; Magnoliopsida; Arecales; Arecaceae. The record is from RNAcentral.